CUGAUGUGGCCUAAACUUCUGAAGUUCCAAAGAGAGACCAAAACUCUGUGAAAUCUCCCAAUCGUUAGAUGUUGGCAACUAAUUCAAUUAAAAAAAAAUGCACGAAGCAUGAUGUUAGCCAAACAAAACACAUCUGGGAGUCGGAUGAGGCCUCCAGACCACGCAUGUGUGACCUCUGGUCUCUAAUUUCCUAACCCAUGACUGCUAGCUGAGUGGACAGCUGGAAACAACAGCAUCGGGAACAACAAAAGCAAGAGCGAAAACCUUCUGUCUGUGCUCCGGGCUGAGCCAGGCGCGGUGCCAACACUUCGUACACAGAGGUCCAUGGGCUCCUCAACUGAUAGCGUCGUGCCCACUUUACAGAUGGGAACACUCGAGCGUCGGAGAAAGGACGCCCCUUGGCCAAGGCCACACCGUUACUAAGGGGCAGAGCAAGGAUGCGAUCGCUCUGUCUGACUCCCAGCACGGGGCUGAAGUCAAGAUGGCAAGACGACGCUGGAGUUACGGGCUUGGUUUUAUUACCGUCGAGAUGAGAUGGACUGGAGAGAGCUCAUACAGCUUUUAUAGGAACUAUUUUAUUUAUAAGAAUUUUCCUAAUGUCAGAUGGAUGUGACAUGCCUGGUUUCUUUCUGCCCGGUCUUGAGAGAGGAGGGGAACUGAGCCUGGUCUGGCCUGGGUUGCGUUUCUUUGCCCUGGAAACUACACGGUUGUUGAGGAAAAUCUGUUCUUCGGCAGUCCUCAUCCACUAGUCUCCCAGAGGACACUUGUAUACUUGUGGUGAUGGGGAACUCAUUCCCUAAGAGGCCACUCAGUCUGCAGUGAAAAGCACCAAAUCCUUUCCUACGCUAACCUCCACUGAUUGGUCCUAACUCUGCUCUCUGGACGUAGAGAGGAGAUCUCUCCGUGCACCUUGGGAGACCGCCAGGGAUUUGAAGGCAGCCACCAUCAAGUUCUGUGUCUUCCUUUUGCUGCAUGAAACAGCCCCUUUAAAUAUUUAAAGAAUAAAUAUUUCUCCAUCACUUGCUUAUUUCA
Long non-coding RNA from Canis lupus familiaris (dog), 1032 nucleotides. RefSeq lists it as uncharacterized. The record is from RefSeq and is a predicted model, not a curated record. Lineage: Eukaryota; Metazoa; Chordata; Mammalia; Carnivora; Canidae. The transcript is spliced from 2 exons.